AAAUGUCGUGUUUAAUUACUCUAUUGGCACAUUGCAGCCUCCAUACUUGUUCUUUAUAAAAAUGUAUUCAUAUUUAAUUAGUUUUGGGGAACAAAUUUCAAAUGUAAACUUUUUAAAGUUUUGAGCUCCACAGUGUCCGGGUCUGGGAGAUAUUGGAGAUCUCAAACCGGCAAAUAAACCAAACGGUCUGCAUGCCUGUACAGUGACCUCUGACCUUUGACUGCCUUCCUGUUGGACGUCUGUGAGGCCGCUGAUGGAGGAGCUGAGGCUCAUUCUGCUGCUGUAAGUCACCCUGAAUAAACGGCUAAAGAAAAUGUAAAUGUAACCCGCUUUCUCAGCCUAUGUUUGAUUGAUUGCGUCUUCAUCCUUCAUCUGGGACUUUUAUCCCAGAUAUGAAAAUUGUAUUAGUAGAAGAUGGCUAUUUAUCUGUGAAAACGUAGCUUGACUUAAACAUCUCAACUACUAUUAUUA
Long non-coding RNA from Sander lucioperca (pikeperch), 471 nucleotides. RefSeq lists it as uncharacterized. The record is from RefSeq and is a predicted model, not a curated record. The transcript is spliced from 2 exons. Lineage: Eukaryota; Metazoa; Chordata; Actinopteri; Perciformes; Percidae.